AGCACGACCGGAGUACGGGGAGAGUGAAGCUAAUGUCCCAGUCGUGAGCGCGAUUCCGUCGCGCCGCGUACUUGAGGAGCCGCACGCGGCGAAGAAGCGGCGGAACGGAGGGCUGAAAGAAGCGCGAAGAAAGAACGAGAGAGAGAGAGAGAGAGAGGGAGAGAGGGAGUCCGUUCCCCCGAAAAAGAAGACAGGACCCUGUCACGCCGAGGGGCGCGUUCAGUCCGUCCACGUCCGCUGUCGGGAACGCGACCGGAAGACCGAUCUUCCUCGCGAGAGAAGGCUGCAUGCUCCUUCCUAUUCCCGACAGGAACUGAACGGAAACUUUCCUCUCGUCGAACUGACGGACGCGUCUUCCGCGGUUCCACAAUUUUUCCCGAAGAUCUCAAUCGACCGAAGAUCUCGCGACUUCGAUUACCGUGAGUGUCGCGAAUUUCCGCCAAACGAUUCCGCCGAGUGAGUGGUUUCGGAGCAAAUUAUAGUUUUAAGAAGACGAGAUCGCCGGAUGUUCAUUUAGAGGAUCGCACUCGCUCCUAGAUGGGAUCGCUGUAGAGACAUCCUCUUUGGGAAAGGUUCAAGAAACGGUAUUAGAACAAAUAAUGAUUCGCGGAAAAAGAACGGUUGACAUCGAUCGGUAGAUGAUUAACGGCCGAACAAGAGGUCAUACAACCGCGGGACUCGCAGGCGCGAAAAGGGAAAAA
Molecule: long non-coding RNA, 701 nt
Organism: Monomorium pharaonis (pharaoh ant)
Lineage: Eukaryota; Metazoa; Arthropoda; Insecta; Hymenoptera; Formicidae
Exons: 2
Source: RefSeq, a predicted model, not a curated record